RNAcentral lists this long non-coding RNA (1046 nucleotides) under Mus spicilegus (steppe mouse). RNAcentral describes it as "lncRNA (ENSMSIG00000013013.1)". Lineage: Eukaryota; Metazoa; Chordata; Mammalia; Rodentia; Muridae. The record is from RNAcentral.
GGGAGAGGGAGAGGGAGAAGAAGGGAGAGGGAGAGGGAGAGGGAGAACCUUUUUAGUUGAGGAACUGAGGAAAGGCCAAACUGCUCUGAAGAGAUCAGAGUUUAUGGUUACUCUGGAUACAACAGAAAUGAGCUGUGCAGCUUAUCUUCUGCUUGUCUGACAGAACCAUGGCCAAUUCUUUUCCAUCCUGUCCUUUCUCCUAGAAAGCUGACUGACUCUCUAGCACAUCAUUAAGCUGCCUGAUCCUCUUGCUUAUGACAGGCCUUGGACAGUAAGGAGUCCCCAAAGGAACCUAGAAGACAGCACUGCAUUGCCUCAACGCUGGUGGGAAAACAGUAAAACUCAGACAGAAAGCCCUGGCAGGUCUGCGUGUUCGAAGUCUGAAAUCAAGUCUCUAAGGAAGACUCUGCAGUACAUUGUCUUGGUUUCUGGAAGCUGUUAUCCUGGCUUGUAGACCCAUCACUCCAGUUUCUACCUCUGUCUCUGGCUUGUAUUAUUGUCUCUGUGUCUUUGUACUUUAAAUCUCCCUCUGUAUUUUUUUUUUUUUGAGGACACCUACCACUAGAUUCGUGACUUACAUGAAACCCAGGAUGAUCUCAUUUUGAGACUCUUAACUAGACAUGAAAGGGGCCUUUAAAGAAAAAGACAGUUAUACAAUGUCUGGGUUUUAGAACUUAUGGGUUUGAGAGCCACCAUUCAACCUGCUACAUCACGUUGUAGAAAUUUUCAAUCCCAAUCCAGGGUUUCUAUCCUGCCUUUGACCACUUAGUUCCUGGAUAAGAGACACACACAGCCUUUAUAUUUACAACACACAAGAGCGGGCAGAUAUCUACCCUCUAUGUUAUUAGAGUGUCAUCUCCUAUAGAUAACUCUGUUAUUACUUACUAUGUUUUGUCUGGGCUGCUCUCAACUCCAAUUGGCCAGCCCUUAGGGCCACAUUUUCAUGGACUCACCUAACCCAUGUCAGCUUCUCCUUCCUCCUUCACCUUCUUUUCUCUCCCUCAUGGUUCGCCUCUGGCCCCUCUACCACCCCCAGGCCCAGGAAC